UACGUAGGGUGCAAGCGUUGUUCGGAAUCACUGGGCGUAAAGAGAGCGUAGGCGGGAUUGUAAGUUAGAAGUUUAAUACAAGGGCUCAACCCUUGGCUGGCUUUUAAUACUGCAGUUCUUGAAUGUGGGAGAGGGCGAUGGAAUUCCAGGUGUAGCGGUGGAAUGCGUAGAUAUCUGGAAGAACACCAGUAGCGAAGGCGGUCGCCUGGCCUAACAUUGACGCUGAGGCUCGAAAGCUAGGGGAGCAAACAGGAUUAGAUACCCUGGUAGUCCUAGCCGUAAACGAUGAACACUAGUUGCCGGAGGAGUCAAUCUUUUUGGUGACGAAGCUAACGCAUUAAGUGUUCCGCCUGGGAAGUACGCUCGCAAGAGUGAA
RNAcentral lists this ribosomal RNA (376 nucleotides) under uncultured bacterium. Its description in RNAcentral is "bacterial SSU rRNA". It matches the Rfam family "Bacterial small subunit ribosomal RNA", at positions 524 to 898 of the family's 1533-position model. The record is from RNAcentral.